Long non-coding RNA from Acyrthosiphon pisum (pea aphid), 2177 nucleotides. RefSeq lists it as uncharacterized. The transcript is spliced from 3 exons. NCBI's taxonomy places the organism in Eukaryota, Metazoa, Arthropoda, Insecta, Hemiptera, Aphididae. The record is from RefSeq and is a predicted model, not a curated record.
UCAAUAAAUGAAAAAUUAGAUUUAGUUGUUCAAAUAUAUCAAGAAAUUUCUACCACACAGACUUAUAGAAUUGAGUAUAUUACGUAUUAUGUGAUAUUAAUAGUAAAUUAUCAAUCCAAACCUUGGAAAACAAUUUAUUCGGACAUAUAUCUUUCAGAACCAGUUUAUAUAUAAUAUAUUUAGAAAUAUAAAUUUAUCUGUGUAUUCAUAUUAAAGAAGUUACUUUUUCACUGAAACAAGUUCUCCAUUAAUCAUCAGUCGGUGGAAAGUCAGUAGAAAUAAUAAUUGAACGAAGAAUGGCUUUCACAUUUAGUCCUUAAAUAUUAUGUCAGUUUUCAUAUUAUGGCCGUGGGAAUAAAAACAUUAAUUUGAAAAAUAGAUUGUCUAUGAAAAUCAUAAACAAAUGUUCUAUGCUUGGCAACGUAUCAAAUAAAAUUGAACAAGUUAUUAACGUCUACUACUUUUCAAGAAUUUUUGCAACUGUCACCAAAUCAUUUCAAUGGAUUCUAGUUAUUCUAAUAUACAAAAGUUAUAACUCAUUUCUUCAAUAUUUUUAAUAGUUUUUUAACGCAAGUAUAAUUAAUUUGAAUCAAAUUAUUUAUAAACUAGAAAUAGAAUUCAUGGAAUUGUAUUACUUUUUAUUACUUUUAUUACUUUAUUAUGUACUUCAUUUGUCUAUGACUUAUGAGACAUAGACCUAUAAACUAAUGGACAGCACUAGAGAAAGGAGUCAGGGGUACGAUAUAGAGUGAGCGAGAAAAGAAACAAAGUACAGUAGACACCGGUUGUAGUGACAUAUUGGGUGUAAUAACCUUAGAUUAAAGGUCCCUGCAAAACUCCUAUAUUGUAUGUACUAAUUUGUAUCGGUUUUUAUGACGUCUAUAUAAUGACUAUACGGAUGUUAUGACGCUAAUUUUUGGUUAUAUUGGAAAAAUAUUUUAUCUAUAAUGACGUCUUUACUUUAUUGAAGUUACUAUUACAGCCGAUAAUACCGACAAUUUCAUCUUUGUUUUGUCGUCAGUUUAAUUAUUUUUAUUUUAUCAUCAGGGUAAGGUAAUUGUCCUGAGAUUAAAUGUGUUUUGUGUUCUUGUGUUAAAUAUUUUGAAAUUGUAAAAUGUGCUAACGAAAGCAAUCCACAAUUGAAGAAAAAGCAAAUGUCAUGUUUCGUUUAAAAGAAGGUGAAAAAAAUUCCCUCAUACCUAAUGAAUUUGGGGUAGGUCACUCUAUACGAUUUCUAACAUAUGGAAAGCUUGAGACAAAAUCGAACAAGAAUUUCAAAAUGAAAUAACAGAUUUUUUUAAAAAUAACAAUUGAAUUAAUUAAUUUAAAUAAUAUGUACAUAAUUAAAUGUUUUUAUUUUUACUUUUUUUCUAUUAUAAAUUACAUAAAUAAAUAAUAAUAAUAAUACGUAUUGAAGUUACAAUUUGAUUUUAGUCAUUUUGGUUAUAAUGACAACCGGUUAUUAUGACCUAUUUUCUUUGGUCCCUUGAACGUCAUUAUAAACGGUUUCUACUACAGUAAAAAUAUCUACCUAUACAGUUCCUUAUGUGGAGUCCUUCACUACUUAUGUUCUUUCUCAUUCAGUUAUGUGAUUAUAUGAUCGCCUAGCAUUGAUUGCAGGGCGGAAUGGAAUGCACUGUCUAUUAGUUUAUAGGUCCUUGGUAUGAGACUAGAUCUUCAUUUUAAAUGUUUUACACUGUAUAAUUUUCUAUUGAGUGGAUACUACCCAUGCAUUUGUUGUGUACAUCUUUGACAUGUACGGCAUGGCUAAUUUUUGUUCACUAGUUUUGAUAGUGUGCUGUUAGUUUUGAUAUUAGAAUGAAUUGACCUAUCAAACUUUUAGGUAAGAACAUUGUCUGUGCUCCAGCGUUGGUUUUUUUCAGUAUUUUAAUUUUCAAACAAGAUGAGGAUUUUUUUUUUGAUAUUUCACAUACCUAUUUAUUGCAUUUAUAUGCUUAGGCACAGAAAAUGUUCUUAGCCAACAGUUUGUAUUAGGUCAAUUCACUCUGUAAUAUCAAAACUAAUAGCACACUGUUGAAACUAAUAAAACAAAAUUUGCCAUGUCAUACGUUUGUAAGGCGGAUACAACCAACACAUGAAUAGUGUCUUCUUAACUGUAAUAUAUUUUAGUAUAUUAAAUAAUAUAACAGUAAUAAUUUUCUUAAAAACUUGCCUUU